This 389-nucleotide ribosomal RNA is filed under the name uncultured eukaryote. RNAcentral describes it as "SSU rRNA". It matches the Rfam family "Eukaryotic small subunit ribosomal RNA", at positions 587 to 972 of the family's 1831-position model. RNAcentral also lists the same sequence under 1 other name. The record is from RNAcentral.
AGCUCCAAUAGCGUAUAUUAAAGUUGCUGCAGUUAAAAAGCUCGUAGUUGGAUUUCUGGCUUGACUCGCCUGGCCCGCCACGGUGACGUGUGUGAGUGCUGGGUCGAAUCGGCCAUCCUUCGUUUAUGGCUAGUUGUUCUUUAUUGAGCAGUUAGUUCGUGAACGAUCGUUUACUUUGAAAAAAUUAGAGUGUUUCAAGCAGGCUUUAGCUUUGAAUACAUGAGCAUGGAAUAAUAAAGUAGGACUUCGGUUCUAGUUUGUUGGUUUGGAGAGCUGAAGUAAUGAUGGAUAGGGACAGUUGGGGGUGCUAGUAUUCAGCGGCCAGAGGUGAAAUUCUUGGAUUCGCUGAAGACUCACUACGGCGAAAGCAUUCACCAAGGAUGUCUUCU